RNAcentral lists this transfer RNA (77 nucleotides) under bacterium. RNAcentral describes it as "tRNA-Arg". It matches the Rfam family "tRNA". Rfam says of the family: Transfer RNA (tRNA) molecules are approximately 80 nucleotides in length. The record is from RNAcentral.
GCGCCUGUAGCUCAACUGGAUAGAGUGGUGGGCUUCGAACCCAACGGUUGCCCGUUCGAGUCGGGCCAGGCGCACUA